CGAGUGAAGCGGCAAGAGCUCAAAUUUGAAAGCUGGCUCCUUCGGGGUCCGCAUUGUAAUUUGCAGAGGAUGCUUCGGGAACGGCCCCCAUCUAAGUGCCCUGGAACGGGCCGUCAUAGAGGGUGAGAAUCCCGUCUGGGAUGGGGUGUCCACGCGCCCGUGUGAAGCUCCUUCGACGAGUCGAGUUGUUUGGGAAUGCAGCUCUAAUUGGGUGGUAAAUUUCAUCUAAAGCUAAAUAUUGGCCGGAGACCGAUAGCGCACAAGUAGAGUGAUCGAAAGAUGAAAAGCACUUUGAAAAGAGAGUUAAACAGCACGUGAAAUUGUUGAAAGGGAAGCGCUUGCGACCAGACUCGCCCGCGGGGUUCAGCCGGCAUUCGUGCCGGUGUACUUCCCCGCGGGCGGGCCAGCGUCGGUUUGGGCGGCCGGUCAAAGGCCCCUGGAAUGUAACGCCUCUCGGGGCGUCUUAUAGCCAGGGGUGCCAUGCGGCCUGCCCGGACCGAGGAACGCGCUUCGGCUCGGACGCUGGCAUAAUGGUCGUAAGCGACCCGUCUUGAAACACGGACCA
RNAcentral lists this ribosomal RNA (565 nucleotides) under Penicillium corylophilum. RNAcentral describes it as "eukaryotic LSU rRNA". It matches the Rfam family "Eukaryotic large subunit ribosomal RNA", at positions 90 to 668 of the family's 3401-position model. The record is from RNAcentral. Lineage: Eukaryota; Fungi; Ascomycota; Eurotiomycetes; Eurotiales; Aspergillaceae.